AGCAGUGUGGCUUAGUAGAAAGAGCCUGGGCUUGGGAGUUAGAAGUCGCGGGUUCUAAUCCUGCUUCUGCUA
RNAcentral lists this transfer RNA (72 nucleotides) under Ornithorhynchus anatinus (platypus). It matches the Rfam family "tRNA". Rfam says of the family: Transfer RNA (tRNA) molecules are approximately 80 nucleotides in length. Their secondary structure includes four short double-helical elements and three loops (D, anti-codon, and T loops). The record is from Rfam by way of RNAcentral. Lineage: Eukaryota; Metazoa; Chordata; Mammalia; Monotremata; Ornithorhynchidae.